GAAGGAAGAAAUGGGGAAAAUUGGGUCUGGAAGACAGUUAUGUUUCUGCUUCUUAGAGUUGGAAGAGCUCAGUUUAAUCAAGUACCAAAAGUACUUUAAAGGUUUUUUUUUCAAAUCUCAAAUGUUUUCCAGUCAAGGAUAGCUUGUCCACAACAAAGGUAAGUUUGAGAUCCAGUCAGAUUAAACAGCCUACACUAGAAAAGGCUUCCACUCAGGAAAUUCCCACUUAGGAACCAUUGAGUUAUAUCCUUUUGAUUUGUGGAUAUAAUUCUAAAAUAUGUGUAUCUCUAAUAGCUAAAAUUCACUUCCUUAAUUUUUUUUGUUCAGUGUGUCAAACAGUAUUCUUGAAUGUUAUACCCCAGCCCAAACCAUUUCAACUGAGUUUGCUGUUAAAUUGAAAAUUGACUUAGCCAACCGAGAGACAAGCAUCUUCAGUUACCGUGAAGAUCCCAUUGUCUAUGAAAUUCAUCCAACCAAAUCUUUUAUUAGGCAUGUCAACAUCGCUCUAAUUCAGAGAUAAUCUGUUGUACCACUCCUUCCCUGCAACAGCUGAAUCUGCAACUCC
Molecule: long non-coding RNA, 565 nt
Filed under: Homo sapiens (human)
Lineage: Eukaryota; Metazoa; Chordata; Mammalia; Primates; Hominidae
Description: HSALNT0127779
Source: RNAcentral